AGGGGCGCCAUGUUCCGCCGGCCACGGUGCAGCUCAGAGCCCGACGGCUGCGGGGAGCGCCAGUCCUCCAGCGGCGGCUCCUCGGGCGCUCCCGGCGGCUCCCCCGCCAGCUCCUCGGUCUCCGAGGCAGAGUCCGUAGGAGCGAAAGUAAAGAACUCUCCUUGAAUGAUGGCUUCGCCAGCAGACUGCACUGAACAGAGCAGGUUCCAAUAAAGGUUUGACAGCGAUGCUGCGAAACGAAUGACCUGCCUAAAGACAAAGGGUUGCCUGGAGAUUCCAAAGAUUAAUUUCCUUCCUCAUCAAAUGGAACCAAACCCAACAGCGUGUGGCAAUGGUGAGUGUGCUGAAGCACAGUGCUCAUUACUCCAGGAGCUGCUCAAUGUUUACCUAAGGCUUGCCAGGCCAAAGUCUCCCAGGAAACUUGUCCUUCAAUAAACAGGUCAUCUUUGAAAUA
Non-coding RNA from Oryctolagus cuniculus (rabbit), 454 nucleotides. The record is from RefSeq and is a predicted model, not a curated record. NCBI's taxonomy places the organism in Eukaryota, Metazoa, Chordata, Mammalia, Lagomorpha, Leporidae.